GAUGAACGCUGGCGGCGUGCCUAAUACAUGCAAGUCGAGCGAACAGACGAGGAGCUUGCUCCUCUGACGUUAGCGGCGGACGGGUUAGUAACACGUGGAUAACCUACCUAUAAGACUGGGAUAACUUCGGGAAACCGGAGCUAAUACCGGAUAAUAUAUUGAACCGGAUGGUUCAAUAGUUAAAGACGGUUUUGCUGUCACUUAUAGAUGGAUCCGCGCCGCAUUAGCUAGUUGGUAAGGUAACGGCUUACCAAGGCAACGAUGCGUAGCCGACCUGAGAGGGUGAUCGGCCAAACUGGAACUGAGACACGGUCCAGACUCCUACGGGAGGCAGCAGUAGGGAAUCUUCCGCAAUGGGCGAAAGCCUGACGCAGCAACGCCGCGUGAGUGAUGAAGGUCUUCGGAUCGUAAAACUCUGUUAUUAGGGAAGAACAAAUGUGUAAGAAACUAUGCACGUCUUGACGGUACCUAAUCAGAAAGCCACGGCUAACUACGUG
Molecule: ribosomal RNA, 497 nt
Filed under: uncultured bacterium
Lineage: Bacteria
Description: partial 16S ribosomal RNA
Rfam family: Bacterial small subunit ribosomal RNA
Source: RNAcentral